AAACCUUUAUUCGUAAAAGGUAGUGGUUUUCAUUGUGUAUUUAUUAAUAUUAUAUUGCUACAUACUACUGGAGUUUCAACUCGUUAUUAUUUUCAAAUUUUCACUUCACUGUUACAAUGGAAAUAUCACUUAUUUGAUAAUAUUUUGCUGAUUUCGAUAUUUAUCAGUAUGUCUCAGUGGGAGUGAGCGUUGAAAAAGUCAGCGGCACUUUCAAAACUAAAAGUCACAAAAAUGGCGACCGUGACAUUGACACUAUAUAAUGCGGAAAAAGAUAUUUUAGUAGAUGUGGAUGUUUCUGCAGCAGAUGCUCAACGUGCAUCUACAGAUAUAUAUAAUUAUAUGAAAAAAUUCUAAAAAAGUUAAUUACAGCUUAUAAUGAAUACAAAUAUAUUCAUUUUUCCUUAAUUCCCAAUAACAUAACCUAUCUUUAUGAAUGAAAACUAAAUGCAGAAUUUGCGACACGACUUUUGAAUAAAGCUUUAAACGAACAACCACAAGCAUCAACGUCUGUUGAUCUUACUGAUGAAAAUCUUCAAUUUUCUGAGGCUGACACAGAUCAAUUUAUUGAUCAAGAAUUCCUCACUACAGAAGAUACUGUUUAUUCCAACUCUGAAACUCAAGAAAGCGAAGCUUCUUUGUAUAGGUGGAGCACGCCUUGUGUUUUGUUAUUAUUAGAGUCUUAUAGAGCAUUGGAAAAAGAUUUUUAUAGUGGAAAAAUAUCCCAAAAGAAAAUUUGGGAAAAAGUUGCCAAAGAAUUGAAGGUAAAAGGACAUGAUGUAACUGGACCACAAUGUUCUUCAAAGCUACGAAGCUUAAAAAAAACUUACAAAUCUAUUAAAGAUCAUAAUAAUAAAUCAGGAAAUGACAGAAGGACUUGGCAGUUUUUUGAUAAUCAAAGAAGACACCAGUUGCCACUUUAUUAGGAAAAAGACUGAAGCAAAAAGAAGAACACGAAGCACAGAAAAAUAAAAGACACAAAGAGCGAAUGGAAAUGGAUGAAAAAUUUCUCAACGUUCUAGAAAAAUUAGCUAUAAAUAAGUUUCAAUAUUUUUAAAUUUUAUUGAAAAAAAAAAAUUUUAAAGCAUUAAAUUAUACGUACAAACUAGAUUAUAUCCUUUGUACU
RNAcentral lists this unclassified non-coding RNA (1123 nucleotides) under Neodiprion lecontei (redheaded pine sawfly). RNAcentral describes it as "uncharacterized LOC124292798, transcript variant X1". Lineage: Eukaryota; Metazoa; Arthropoda; Insecta; Hymenoptera; Diprionidae. The record is from RNAcentral.